AAAAAGAAAAAGUUAAAUCAUCCCUGUUUGCAGAUGACACAUUCAUAAAUAUUAAAAACUCUAAAGAUGUCACCAGAAAACUGUUGGAACUAAUAAUUUGGUAUAACUGCAAAGUACAAAAUCAACAUACAAAAAUCAGUAGAAUGUCUAUAUGCUAACUAGGAACUAUCAGAAAAAGAAAUCAAGAAAGCAGUUCUACUUACAAUUGCUCCAAAAAACAUAAAAUACAAUUACCUACUGCACAAUGAAAUUUUGGUUAAUGACAGAAAACAUAUGAGACAAUGGCCCUAUAAGAUUAUAAUCAAGCUGAAAAAUUCCUAUCAUCUUAGCACAAUGCAUUUCUCACGUGUUUGUGGUGAUUCUGGUGUAAACAAAGCUACUGUGCUGCCAGUCAUCUAAAAUAUAUAACACAUGCAAUUAUGUACAGCACAUAAUACUUGAUAAUUAUAAAAACAACUGUUAUUUGGCUUAUGGAUUUACUAUUUAUCCAACUGGCUUGUGGAUUUACUGUACGGUACAUUUUAUCAUUAUUUUAGAGUGUACUCCUACCUAUAAUAGACAAGUUAACUGUAGAACAGCCUCAGGGGAGUCCUUUGGGAGGUCUUCCAGAAGAAGGCAUUGUUAUCAUUGGAGAUGACAGUUCCAUGCGCGUGAUUGCUCCUGAAAACUUUCCAGUGGGACAAGAUGUGGAAGUGGAACACAGUGAUACUGAAGAUCCUGACCCUGUAUAUGCCUAGGCUAAUAUGUUUCCAUCUUAGUUCUUAACAAAAACAUUUAAAAAGUAAAAAAAGUAAAUGAAUAAAUUCUAGAAAAAAGCUUACAGAAUAAGAAUAUAAGGAAAAAAUAUUUUUAAAGAGCUGUGCAAUGUGUUUGUGGUUUAAGCUAAGUGUUAUUACAGAAGAGUCAAAAAUUUAAAAAUAACAAAAAUUUUAUGAAGUAAAAAAGUUAUAGUAAGAUAAGGUUAAUUCGUUAUUACAGAAAAAUAUUUAUUUUUAAUAAAUGUAGUGUAACCUAUGUGUACAGUUAUUAUGAAUCUACAGUAGUAUGUCCUAGGCCUUCACAUCCACUCACCACUCACUGACUUACCCAGAACAACUUCCAGUCUUGCAAGCUCCGUUCAUGGUAAGUGCCCUAUGCAGGUGUAUCACUUUUUAAUCUUUUAUACCAUAUUUUAAUGUACCUUUUCUAUGAUUAGGUAUGCUUAGAUACACAAUUACUUAACACUGUGUUACAAUUGCCCAGAGUAUUCAGUACAGGCAUAUGUUGUACAGGUUUGUGGCCUAGAAGCAACAGGCUGUGCCACAUAGCGAAGGUGUAUGGUAGGCUAUACCAUCUAGGCUUCUGUAAGUAUUCUCCGUGAUGUUUGUACAAAGAUGAAAUUGUCUAAUGACACAUUUCUCAGAACAUAUCCCCAUUGUUAAGCAACAUACAACUGUUUUGGGGAAAAAACCAAGGAGGUUAAAUAUUUGUACACCGAAAAACUGUAAAACAUUGAUGAAAAAAAUUGAAGACACAAAUAAGUGGAACAGUAUCCCAUGAACAUGGAUUGGAAAAAUUAAUAUUGUUAAAAUGUCCAUACUUUCCAAAGCAAUCUCUAUCAAAAUGACAAUCUUCACAGAAAUAUCCAAAAAAAUCUUAAAAUCUGUAUGGAACCACAAAAGAUCCCUGAAUAACCAAAGAAAUAUUGAGCAAAAGGAACAAAGCUGGAGCCAUCACAUUACCUGACUUCAAAGCAUACCACAGAGCUAUAGUGAUUAAAACACCAUGGUACUAUCACAUAGAGUAAUAGAACAGACACAUACAUCAAUGGAACAGAAUAUAGAGCAUAGAAAUAAAACCACAUAUUUAUAGUCAAUUGAGGACGAAGAUGUCAAUAACACACAAUGGGGAAUGAACAGUCUUUUCAUAAAUAGUGUUGGAACAACUGGAUACCCACAUGCAGAAGGAUAAAAUUAGAUUCUUAUCUCACGCCAUAUACAAAAAUCAGCUCAAAAUGGAAGAGUUAACCUAAUAUGUCUUAAACAUUUAAAUGUAUGACACAAGUUGUAAACCACUAGAAGAAAACAUAGAAAAAAAGCUCUGUGACAUUGCUCUGGGCAAUAACAUUUUGGAUAUAAAGCCAAAAGCACAGGCAACAAAAACAAAAGACAAAUGGGAUUAUAUCAAACUAAAAAGCUUCUGCACAGUAAGGGAACAAUCAACGGAGUGAAGGGACAGUCUGUGAAAUGGGAGAAAAUAUAUGUAAAUGUAUUUGAUAAGGGGUUAAUAUCUAAGAUACACAAGGAACUCAUAUACCUCAGUAGUAACAAAAGAACGCAAUUUUUAAAAACAGGUAAACGAUAUGAACAGUUAUCUCUCAAAGGGAGAUAUACAUGGCUAACAGGUAUAUGAAAAAUGUUCAACAUCAGUAAUUAUCAGGAAAAUGCAAACUAAAAUCACAAUGAGAUAUCACCACACACCGGUUAUUUUGGUGAUCAAAAAGAUAAAAGAUAACAAAUGUUGGCAAGGAUGUAGAAAACAGAAAACUCUUCCACUGUGUUGGAAGGAAUGUAAACGAAUAGAGCUUUUAUGGAAGACAAUAUGGAGGUUCCACAAAAAAUUAAAAAUAGAACUAUCACAUGACCCAGCAAUCCCACUGCUGGGUCUGUAUCCAAAGGAAAUUAAAUCAGUAUGUCAAAGAGAUAUCUGCUCUCCCAUGUUUACUGCAGCAUUGUUCACAAUAGCCAAAAUAUGAAAUCUACCUAAGUACCCAUGAACAAAUGAAUGGAUUUUUUAAAUGUGGUAUAUAUGCACAAUGGAGUAUUAUUAAGCCUUAAAAAUGAAGGAAAUCUUGCAUUUGCAACAACAUGGAUGAACCUGGAAGACAUUUACAUUAAGUGAAAUAAGUGAGGUUUAGAAAAACAAAUACUGCAUGGACUCAUUCAUAUGGGGAAUCUUAAAAAAUAAAAGCCACAGAGGUUGAGAGCAUAAUAAUGGUGGUUUCCAGGGGUACGGGGUGGGGGCUCAGAAGAUUUUGGUCAAAGGACACAAAAUUUCAAUUCAACAGAAAAAAUAAAUUCCAGAAAUCUAUUGUCCAAUAUGGUAACUAUAGUUGAUAACUAUGUAUUAUAUUCUUGAAAGUUUCAAUAUAUUUUAAGUUCUCACCACAAAAAUAAGUAUGCGAGGUGAUGCAGAUAUUAAUAAGAUUGAUUUAACCAUUCCACAAUGUAUACAUAUUUCAAAACACCAUGAUGUACACUAUAAAAAUAUAGUUUUAUUUGUCAACUAAAAACAAGUAAAACAAUACACACAAAAAAUAAAAAACAGUCCAGAGAAAAGACUGAUAAGACUAAAAAGUGUGAUUAUAAUACUAUGAAUAUGUGCAAUCUGUAUUGUAAUGCAGGAUGCUACAGGACUCUUACGAAGACAUCUAGCCCAAUGAUGCAGGUAUCAGGGGAGGCUUCUCAUCCAACUGCACUAUGGAAGAUGAACAGAGGGGUAGGAUUUGGGGCUGCAGAGGGAUGGAAGUUCAUAGAGACCCAGCAGUUGGAGACAAUGUAGCACAGCUAUAGAGAGUUAAAAGCUGGAGGAAUGGUGAGCUAUGACGUUGGAAACUCUCGACGUAUAUUAAGAACUCAAACUUCAUUCUCUCUGGUUAAAUGGGGAAAGCUAGCAAAGAGUUUUAAGGAAGAAUAUAACAUGAUCACAUUCACCUUUUAGAAAGAGUUCUACAUUCACGGUGUAGAGAAAGAAGUGGCAAGGCUGAACUCUGAGAAACGUGGUGGCUAGAAUCUGGGUAAGAGGUCCUGUGGACAAUGGGAAGUAGCUGUGAGAACAGUGGAGGAUAUAGAAAUGGUCAGGAAAAAAUCCCAACAGACUUGGUGGUUCUUCAGAUAGUGUUGGAUUUCGGUUGCAGUCAGAGCUGUCUCUGUCCUCCUGUUCCUCAGAGCUGAAGUCUUUGCUGAUGGUCACCCAGGGAGCCCUUAGUUAAUUUUAGUGGCCAGUUUUAUUUUCACCAUCAGUCUUUUCCCCAGAGACACACAGGAUCUCUGCCACUGGCUCCUGUCUUCUUACCAUGCUCUCGUUUUUGUUAAAUUCUUUCUUCCCUAGCACCAACUUAGUGCCCUUCAAAAGUCCAUGUUUAAAAUUUAUGCUUUUUCUACAGAAUGAAAUAGUUUACUCUGAACUUUCAGGAAGUCAUGGAAAAAGAGUUUGCACAUUUGCUUUCCCAGAGGAAAUCAUAUUAAAGUUAAAAAAUAAGUUAUUGAUCUAUUCAAUAAAUAUGUCUUUAUUUACUUUUAUUAUUUAUUUAUCUUUAGAGACAGAAUCUCAUUCUGUUGCCCAGGCUGUCCUUGAACUCUGAACUUCAAGUGAUCCUCCUGCCUCAAUCUCCCAAAAUUCUGGGAUUACAGGUGUGAGCUACCAUGUCCAGACUCAAUAAAUAUUUAUUAAGUGUCUUUUAUGUGCCAUGUACCAUCCAUGAUCCUGGGGCACAGCAGUGAACAAAACAUAGAGAGUCUGUGUCCAUGCAGUUCGUUCCUCAGGGAGGAAACAGACUCUGUACACCACAAAUACUAUACGUACACACAGACUACAUAUACACACGUACAUAUAGAUAGAUGUGUCAACAUAUAUUAAGUCUGAUGGUGAUAAGAGGGAAGGCAUUGUUACAGUGUGCCAGGGAAAAAGACUCAUUAUAAAGACGACCUGUGAGCAAAGACCUAAAGAAUAUAAAAGAGGAAACACAGAUAUCUGGGAGAAAAGUAGUCUGCAAGUAGGAUCAAUAAGCGGUGCCUUGCCUGGCAUGUAUGAGACAUGGCCAGUAGACCAUAAUAGCUGGAGCAGAGUGAGCAAGAGGAAGAAGCUGGGAGAUGCAUUCAUGACGCACCAGGCAAGGAUGGGGUGGGAGGCAAGAAGAUUGCACAAACUUGCUUCUUCUUUUCAUUGACUUGGGAAGCCACUGGAGUGUCUGUGUAGAGGCCUGAUACCAUUUGACUUGAGUAUUAACAGGCUCAUCCUGGUUUCUACUUAAAGAAAAGAUUGUAGGAGGGUAAGGUAGAAACAAAAAGACCAGUUAGCAAGCUUUUGCAUCCAGGAGAAGAUGGUGACUUGGGCUGGAGUUAUGCAGUGGAGGUGGUGAGCAGUUGUCACGUUCUGGUUAUGUUUUGAUGAAAUGUCUACAGAUUUUGCUGAAAGAACCAUGGUGGGUGUCAGCGAUGUCAAGGAUGAUUCCCAGGUUUGGUGCUACAGUUUGCUUAGACAAGUCUUAGACAAGCCUUUUAGAUGAGUCUGCUGGGGCCAUCCUCAAUUCCUCCAAAUAUGCUUUGUCACCCUUUGACUGCUGGUUCUCCUGCUAGCCAUUUUCUCCUUUUAAGAUGAGGAUAUUUAAUAAUCACUCUCUUGAUUCUCUACCCAUCUUCUUCUAAAACUCAACCACCCAGUUUCCAAAUGUGUAAAAUGUGUGGGAAAAUCAAGCUAUUUUCAAAAGUGCUGUAAGUGAUUACAACCUAAAAGGAUAAAUGUUGGUGUUUUGUCUACACAGCCUCUCUUCCUCUCUCCAGAACUAAUUGUCAAGGUAGAUAGCAGAAUGAGGAUUAGCUGGGCUCCACAAGAGUUCAUCAUGUUCUGUGGGAAUAAUCUAAUUUACCCACAUUUGUGAAAACUACAUUUAUUAGAUUUAUCAUAUUGUGCCAUUGAAUUAAAGACCAACUAACAUUUGCCUCUCAGCAGAAAGCUAUGGAGACUAAGAAUCAGUAGACUACCCAGGGGAAGCCACUAGGCAACCAAGACCACAGAGGACUUCCUCCAGCAAAGAGGCAAUGACCCAUUCCUUUGCAUGAGGGAUGUUGGGACGUUCUAAUAAAUGUAUUUGGCCUGAAACCAUCUUCUCACAUUCAAGGACCAUUAGAAACAUUUUAAAGAGAAGGUUGAAAUAGCAGGAGGCAAAAUAGUAAAUCAUGUAAAAAAACAAACCAUAAAAGAUACCUGAAUUAAUGUACUCAAGAAUGAGGAAGGCUUCUCCUUCUAUCUGGCUAAAGUGAAAUUGUUGCUCUUCUUGGCCAUUCAUUCAGCCAAAGCAUAAUCCUUAAACCAAGUAAAAGACAGAAUUGCAUCAUCUUGCCUUCGGGCACAGAUUCCUUGAAACUCUGAGUAGAUACCUGAGGUGUUUAAGAACGUAUCAAAACCUUCAGGUAAAGGAAUAACACUCUGAUUAUAGGGUGUAGGCAUCAACUAGUGAGGAAGACAUGUUGGAGGAUACCAAUAAAUGUUCAGGACAUUUAACAUUUUCCUUUGCCUUUACUCUGGUUGUGAUGUUUUGGUCACGGCCACUGAACACUCAUCGACCUUCCCACUGGCUUGGGUCAAAAUAUCCCCAGUGAUAUUCUCUACCAUUUCCUGAAUCUUUCACUUAAUGCAAAGAUUUUCAUCCUUGCUCUUUUUUAAAAAAAAAAAAAAAAAAUGUGGCCUUAUUGUCAAUUGGAAUACUCAUCCUCUGACAUUUUAUGAGUUUAAGAUUCUCAUUAGUUAUAUAAUUAUCUUGUGUAUUUUAUUUACAUUACUAUGAUAUGUGUUUUUGUCCUCCAUGUAGAACUACAAACUCUUUAUAUCUAGGGAUAAUAUCUAGUUGGUAAAAUGCGCCAAAACUUUUAGGUAGCGUUAUGCAGACGUCUAUAUUAAUUGAGAACAUUAAUGAUAAAAAUUGUAAAAGCAAAAGCAGAAUGAGUUUCCAAGUGUAAAAUUAUGAUUCAGAUUUAGUUUCUAUAAAUGGAAUCAUACCAAUACAGCAAUAUUUUGUUUCAACUAAAAUCUCUUAAGUAACAAACUUUUAAAAUUAGCUAUAAUUAUUUAAGCAGUCAAAACAAACAGGGAAGCCAAAAAUUCCAUAUCAGGAUGUUACAAAUUUACCCAUUCUGACAUUACUAUACAGGAGCUGUAUUUAAAAUUACUUCUAAGAAAUUCAUGAUGCAAUUUCAAAAUGGAAAAUAAUCAAAAAAAGACUACAACAUUUUGUCAACAGCACUCUAAAGAGGUCCUGAUGCAGAUAACUGUGAAUUAUUGUGAAAUUCUAUUACCUCAUAGAAGGGGCUUAACAAAAAAAAAAAAAAAAAAAAUACAGGGUACUUUAGUUCAGUUGGCAUUUGCCAAGCUCUCUAACACAGCUAUUCCUUAGCAUUAUAAAAAAAAAAACUCUAAGCCAUGCCUUCUCUGGUUAGCUUGUAUUCAGUAUAGAAGAGAAAGCAGUGAUAACAUAAUAUAGAACUGGCAUUCUCCAAAUGACUUUAAUCUAUCUUCCCAAAGACUAGUUCUCAUUAAUUUCAAUAACCAGAGUCACAACCAGAAAAUCAACAACCGCAACAGAAAUGGAUAAACAGUGACUUAAAUGAUGUGUUCUGAACCUUGUAAAAUGCAAAACUGAAAUAUACAAAAAAUUAAAAUGGGGCCAACAUUUGACAUGAAAAUAGAUGCAUACAUUCCCAUGCCUUGACUAAGUAAAAUAUUCCAAACUCAAAUUAAUGGGUCAUCUCUAAAAAGCACUUUAGUAACUCAUUUAAUAAUUUGAAUGAACCAAUUUUUCUAUACAAUCACUUGCUUUGGUUCUUCCAUCCAGCUUCCACAACCAUCCAUCUAACAAAGCCAAGAAACCUGGAGUGUUCCUUGAUAUCUUUCUAUCUCUCCAUUUCACAACUAAUUCCUCAGCACAUUUUGUCUACUCUACCUUCAAAUAUUUUAGAGCUACUUACGUGACCACCAUUGCUAUCACCUUGGUCCAAGCUUCCAUCAUCUUUUAUGUGGAUAGCUGCAAAAGCUUCAUGGUCUCUCUGUUCCAUCCUUGUUUUCCUUCAGCCUAUUCUCAACUCUGCAGCCUUUCAAAAUCUGAGGACUGAACUCUGACCGUUUUUUUUCUUCUUGCCCAGAUUUCUUUCUAAGGGGGCUGGGGAAUUAUGUCUUACAAACCAUAAUAUCUUAUUAAGUGUUGGGGUUUUUUUAAAUUAACCCAAUAUAACGUGGCUUACUUUCCAACCUGACUCUGGUAUAGCAUUAAAUGACAGAGAGUAGACCCCCUUACCUUAAGCAUUCCUUUCUACUGACGCCUCAAGUCUUUAGACAAAGCUUAGCUCUGACAACCAAUUGCCAACGAAAGAAGCUCUAAAACCCACUGACAACUUAUAAGGCUGUGCUUCAACAUGCUUUGCCUUUUCAGGCUGAACCAAUGUAUACCUUUCCUGUAUCAAUUUAUGAUUUUACCUGCGUUUGCAGUCUCCCUGGAAUGUGUAAAGCUAAACUGUAAGCCAGCUGCCGCGGGCACACUUUCUUGUGCUCUCUUGAAACUGUUUCCACAGGUCACGGUCACUCACUGGCUCAGAAUAAACCUCUUUAACUAUUUUGGCAGAAUUUGGAUUUUUCAUCAUUAAAUCUAAGGCAACUGGUCAUUUAUUUCUUCAAAAUUAUGAAAUUGAAGAAAUAGUGUCCCAUUUUGCUUAAAGUAAAAGCCAAAAUCUCUAUAACCUUGAAGGCCCUAUAAGAUUAGUCUCUCUUAUCUCCGAGUUCAUCUCCUAAUUCUCUACUUUUCCCUCUUGUAACUGGCCUUUUUUUUCUCAUAAAUUAUAUCUCAUCUUGAAGCCUUUGCUCAAGGCACCUCUCAUCCUGGAAUGGGCUUUUCUCAUAUUCAGGAGGUUAAGUCCCUCAUAAUUGCUAAAUGUUUACUUAAUAUUAUCUUCCUACUGAGGCUCACCCUAUUUAAAAUGGAACUUCCCACACAUUUCCUAACCUCUAACUCUGUUUAUCUUUCUUUUGCACUCAUGAUUUUUUAAGAUACUCUAUUGUAAUUGUUCUUGCCCUACUAGAAUAUCAACUCCAUUUUGGUAAGAUGUUUUGGUCUAUUUUGCUUCACAGACAUAUCCCCCAGCACAAAAAAACUAGUUACUGGUAAAUAUUUGUUCAAAAAAAUUCAAUGAAUAAAGGAAUAAAUUACUAUUCUUUCUUUUAGCUUUCUUACUAACAAGACAUUUUUUAUUCCAUACUUUCCUUUUAUAAUAGAGACUCAGGGAGAAACCUUGUGUGAACUACUCAUUAAAAUGAUUACCGUUAUCUGCUAAUCAUUUCAGGAUAGGGCAUACAAUUAAGGUCGGUUCUGGCACGGAGAAAUAUUAUUAUAAUAAUAACACAAAUUACACAUUGUCAAAGGAAGCAAGUUGUGAGGCAAUCACAGAAGGAAAAGAAUAAAAACCCCAGCAACAGGACGACUUUAAAGAUGUAUUUCCAGAUAACUUGUAUUCCCUCAUGAUCAGCACAAGUGCACUGAUGGAACAGAGCUUCCUUGCCCAGGGGAGCUCCUUGGCUGCUUGUGGAUCUUGUGAGCAUCACUCUAGGAUGCCAUGCUUCAAUCACCCCAGCAACAGCAGAGCCUCCUUGUGGAAGCAGCUGAAUAUGGUUUGCAAUUUUGUUCAACACUUGGAGAACCAGGUUAAUUGUCUCCUUCCCUCAAAUACCAGCAGGCCAUUGGUCCUCCUCAGAGGUCUGGAUCCCAGCUUCAUGGGUCUUUCCUCUGAGCUCAGAGAUACCAGCACCAGCCAAGCCACGCCUUGCUUACAGGUCUGAGUUUGAGCUUCACCAGACAUUCCAAGUUUUUUGUUUUCCUUUUUUUCCCCACAAUUCUGGGGGUGGGAGGCAGCUGCUUCCUGAAGUUGCUACUUCCACAAUACCUUAGAGUUUCUUUUUCUACCCUUUAAGUUACCAGCUGACAACUUGUUACUAAUUAAGAAGUGUUUGUAUUAAAUCUUCUCUGUUCAAAUAGCUGGUAUCAUUUCUGUCUUCAGAGUGGACUCUGACCACUACCUCUACUGAAUAUUGUCAACAUUAUUUCUUUCCUGAGAUGAACAUUUUAUUGGACAUUUGAAAUAAGGCCUGGUGAUAAGUUUCUAUAUAUGCAUAAAAUCAUAAUAAAUGCAACAGCUACUGGUACUGACUGAUGUGGGGAUGACACAUUGGUGGCUGAGAAGCCACUAGCAGCAUUGCCAUUGCUAGGUUCAAAAAUGGUGAACGACUCUUGAUCUCUUGAUGAUGUACUAGACAGAAACUACAAUCUGCCCUGAUUUGUAGUGUAGUUUCAUUCCUGGGAAAGUUAGCACACAUUAAAAUGGUUGAAAAUACACUUUGUGUUUUUAUGUAAAAUAUAGCCAUGCCAUGCAAGAUAUGAAAAUAUUCAUUGUUCAGGACAGUCUUAUGCAUUGCUAUUUGUCUAAAAACUCUGACUCUUACCCACUAAGUGCCACUGCACUUAUUCCAAUUAUGGGUGGCCAAAACUGUGCCCACAUCAUGUCUUACGGUAAUGCCAUAUCUGUUCAGAAUAAAAUAAGGCAGAGGCAGAAGAGGCCAUUUCCUUUAUGAAUUUAGUUGAGGAUAAGUCAUCCCAUGGGUCUUCCACACUGACAGGGCAUCUCCUCAUGCUUCUUUCCACUUGGCAAAAGUCUCAAAGUCUAAGUUAUAAUGAAGAUAGUUUUUCUGAAAAGGAUAAUAUCCUAAAAGAAAUUCUUAGCGCCUAUAAACACAUUUUAAAAUCAAUAUGUUAAUUUUAACAUGAAAGAAAUAAAACUAGUACAUGUAGUAUCAAUAGUAAUAUUUGUGCAUAAUCAUAUUAUAAUACAUAAAUGCCUAGGCACAACUACCUUAGAUACACAGAGUGAACACAAUUAUCAAUCUAGUUACCCUGGAGCACCCUAACACAAGACACCACAGCGGCAUUUAAGGUUUGAGAAGAAAAGGGAAAAAGAAAGAAAAUGAUUCUAAAAAUUAGUAAAGAUGUUAUACAGCAAAGGUUUUAUGAAGAAGUAGGCAGCAUGAAGCAUAAGGUUAGGAUUAGAGGGCCCUCAAGAUUCAGGUGAAGUUAGGGGAGAAAAUACACAUGCAUGGUUGAUAUACAUGUGUAUUUUUAUUCGGGAAACCUGGUGGUGUGGACACAUAUAUAUACAGGCAACCCUUCAACACAUGGUUUGAACUGUACACAUCCAUUUCUAUGUGGAAUGUUUUCAAUAAAUGUAUUAGAAAAAUUUGUAGAGAUUUGUGACAAUUUGCAAAAACAUGCAGAGAAACCAUGUGGCCUAGAAAUAUAAAAAAAAAUUUCUUAAGUUAGGUGUGUCAUGAAUGCAUAAAAUAUAUGUCAAUACAAGUCUAUUUGAUGAUUUUCUACCAUAAAAUUUACACAAAUCUAUUAUAAAAAGGUAAAUUGUAUCAAAAUUUAUGUAUAUACUUACUGACCAAACAUGGUACCACUGCAGUUGAGAGAAUUAUAAACAAACAAAUAUGCAGUAUUAAAUUAUAACUGCACAAAAUUAACUGUAGCACAUACUAUACUACUAUAAUUUCAUAGUCACCUCCUGUUGCUAUUGUAGUGAACUCAAGUGUCAAAAGUAUCCACUUAAAAUGCCACGUAAUGGUAAUCAUCUUUGCAUGAGCAGGUCAUAACUCUGGUAAAUUACGUAUCACAAUAAAAAGUGAUCUCUCGUGUUUCUGGUGUAUUUUUUUAAACAUGUUUUAAUGCAAUAGCAUAAACCUUGAAUAACACACGAGACCCAUACAAACUGCCAAUAGUGAUGCUGGAAAUGCUCUUAAGAAGCAGGGAAAAGUCACGACAUUACAAGAAACAGUUAAAUUGCUUGGUAUGUAUUAUAGAUUGAGGUCUACAGCUGUGGUUUCAUUUCAAGAUAAAUGAAUCCAGUGCAAGGACCACUGUUAAAAAAAAAAAAAAAAAAAAAAAGAA
Long non-coding RNA from Symphalangus syndactylus (siamang), 11737 nucleotides. RefSeq lists it as uncharacterized. Lineage: Eukaryota; Metazoa; Chordata; Mammalia; Primates; Hylobatidae. The record is from RefSeq and is a predicted model, not a curated record.